This 395-nucleotide ribosomal RNA is filed under the name Nemobiinae gen n. sp. n. ICCM-2015. RNAcentral's name for it is "partial 12S ribosomal RNA". The record is from RNAcentral. Lineage: Eukaryota; Metazoa; Arthropoda; Insecta; Orthoptera; Trigonidiidae.
UAUUAUUAGAAGGAAAAAAAGAGAGGUCAAAGUAGUAACMGGUAAAUUUUGAAACUUAAAGAAUUUGGCGGUGUUUUAGUCCUUUCAGAGGAAUCUGUUCAAUAAUCGAUGAUACMCGAAUAGAGAAACUUAGUUUAGUAAUCAGCUUGUAUACCGUCGUCGUAAAGAUUAUUUUUGAAGAAUUGAAAAAUUUCUGGAAAAAUAAGUAUUUUGAAUGUCAGAUCAAGGUGCAGCUUAUAAUUAAGAGGAAAUGGAUUACAAUAUAAGAAUAUAUGAUGAAUUUAUUAUUAAAAAAAAUAAAUGAAGGUGGAUUUGAUAGUAAAUUGACUUAUUUAUUGGUUGAUUAGGGCUCUAAAACAUGCACACAUCGCCCGUCGCUCUCGUAAAAUUAUGAG